GACACGGCAUCGCCGGCAGUGAUUGGCUUCGCUUGAUGAUCCCCACCAAGCCCGAUCUUUCUCUUCCUUACAUCAAACAAAAAAAAAGUGGAGAGAAAGGGACCGUCAACUCUUUCACGCCAUGUCCUUCUUUUUCUCCAUGUAGUGAUUGCAGACCGUCGUUCGGAGAGAUGGCUGUGACUUCGAUGGCAACAUUUGGGCAGUCGUUGGCGUCGGAUGUGGCUUGCCGAUGGCCUAGUUAACCAAACAAACAAAAACAAAAAGAGGGAGGAGGGGUCAUCGGAUCUCGUCUUAACUGGCAUUUUCUCUUUGCUUUUCGAUGGCUACCGAUGACCGAUAGUUGGAAGAUGAUAGGCCCGUUAAUUCAUCAAUUUUGGAACCAUUGUCGGUCAGAUUUUGUGGAGGAGGGCGUUAAUUUUGGCCCCUCCUCUUUCUACUGUCCAUCGUGAGAAAAAAAAUUGUCCAAAUUUUUAAAAAUAUUUUUAUUUAAAAAAUUAUUAUAAAAUUAUUAAAUACAUAAUAAUUUAGAUAACUAUCUUUUCUGUUGAUAAUUCAAAUUAUCAAUUUAAAAAAUAUAUCAAAUAUGCCAAUCUAUCUUUAUAUCACUGAUGAUCUGGAUAGAUCGUCGGCCACCAAACGCAUCCUUGAAGUCAAAAGAGUGUUGUCUUAAAGGCUCGGCGUUUUGCCAGUUGGCCGUGAUAAAAGCGCCAGGUCAUUAGGGAAGGUACACAAACGUCGGGGUCAUUCU
This 748-nucleotide long non-coding RNA is filed under the name Elaeis guineensis (African oil palm). RNAcentral describes it as "long non-coding RNA (EGUI_LNC023983)". The record is from RNAcentral. Lineage: Eukaryota; Viridiplantae; Streptophyta; Magnoliopsida; Arecales; Arecaceae.